This is a long non-coding RNA of Myiozetetes cayanensis, 556 nucleotides long. RefSeq lists it as uncharacterized. The record is from RefSeq and is a predicted model, not a curated record. The transcript is spliced from 4 exons. NCBI's taxonomy places the organism in Eukaryota, Metazoa, Chordata, Aves, Passeriformes, Tyrannidae.
AAAAUCCGUAACUUCUGUGAACCACCCAUUCAGCAGUUCCACCCAGGCACUGGAUGGAUGAGCCCUGGCACAGGGAGUAUUGGAUGGCGUCAGGCAGCGAGGGAAGCUCUGGCAGUGCAACUCUUGCACAAAGGUCAAGAUACCAUUAACCAAAGAAAAGCCCUGCUGCUGAACUGCCUCAGACCACAUGGCCUCUUAAAAGACAGUCCACUUGCUCAUCUUUCCUUUGAAUAAAUGAAGUUAUGGACUUAUACAAAGGUUUCAGAGUCACGGACAAUGCUGAGCAGCUGUGUGUGUAACAGUUGCAGAUCAAAGGUACAAUUAGUCUAAUGUGGGCACCAAAACAGAGAAAAAGGAUGAUCAGGAAAAUGAAAGAGGAGAAUGCAAGCAAGCAUUCGGUGACAGAAGAAAAUCAUCAGCCCUGGCUGGUACCACCAGACAAGAAGAGGCCAAUGCCAUUUGGAAAAUAAUGACAUGGCCUCAGGAGAGAUCGAGCCUGGAAGAAAGCUCCUUCUCCUGGAUUCUUCUCACAGGGGCAGCACUCCCAACAGGCCAG